This 252-nucleotide ribosomal RNA is filed under the name uncultured bacterium. RNAcentral describes it as "partial 16S ribosomal RNA". It matches the Rfam family "Bacterial small subunit ribosomal RNA", at positions 334 to 578 of the family's 1533-position model. The record is from RNAcentral.
CAACCCUACGGGACGCAGCAGUAGGGAAUCUUCCACAAUGGACGAAAGUCUGAUGGAGCAACGCCGCGUGAGUGAAGAAGGGUUUCGGCUCGUAAAGCUCUGUUGGUAGUGAAGAAAGAUAGAGGUAGUAACUGGCCUUUAUUUGACGGUAAUUACUUAGAAAGUCACGGCUAACUACGUUGCAGCAGCCCCGGUAAUACGAAGGUGGCCAGCGUUGUUCGGAUUUAUUGGGCGUAAAGCGGGUGCAGGCGG